AAGUCGUAACAAGGUCUCCGUUGGUGAACCAGCGGAGGGAUCAUUACCGAGUAGACUGCUCAUCUCCCCUGUGAACCUAUCUGUUGCCUUGGCAGGGCGCAGCUGCAUGCAUGCUGCCAGAGGCCGCCCGGUGCCCUGCCAAAGGAAUACAAAUGCAGCAAAGAUUAGUGGUUAUCAAAGUAUACACACACACAAACAAACCAAAACUUUCAACAAUGGAUCUCUUGGUUCUG
This 233-nucleotide unclassified non-coding RNA is filed under the name Sordariomycetes sp. Its description in RNAcentral is "partial contains small subunit ribosomal RNA, internal transcribed spacer 1, and 5.8S ribosomal RNA". The stretch from base 1 to 46 matches the Rfam family "Eukaryotic small subunit ribosomal RNA", at positions 1786 to 1831 of the family's 1831-position model. Lineage: Eukaryota; Fungi; Ascomycota; Sordariomycetes. The record is from RNAcentral.